This 466-nucleotide ribosomal RNA is filed under the name uncultured bacterium. RNAcentral describes it as "partial 16S ribosomal RNA". It matches the Rfam family "Bacterial small subunit ribosomal RNA", at positions 28 to 506 of the family's 1533-position model. The record is from RNAcentral.
GACGAACGCUGGCGGCGUGCUUAACACAUGCAAGUCGAACGGAAAGGCUCCAGCUUGCUGGAGUACUCGAGUGGCGAACGGGUGAGUAACACGUGGGUAAUCUGCCCUGCACUCUGGGAUAAGCCUGGGAAACUGGGUCUAAUACUGGAUAUGACCUUUCUCCUUAUGGGGUUUGGUGGAAAGUUUUUCGGUGUAGGAUGAGCCCGCGGCCUAUCAGCUUGUUGGUGGGGUGAUGGCUUACCAAGGCGACGACGGGUAGCCGGCCUGAGAGGGUGAUCGGCCACAUUGGGACUGAGAUACGGCCCAGACUCCUACGGGAGGCAGCAGUGGGGAAUAUUGCACAAUGGGCGGAAGCCUGAUGCAGCGACGCCGCGUGAGGGAUGACGGCCUUCGGGUUGUAAACCUCUUUCAGCAGGGACGAAGCGUAAGUGACGGUACCUGCAGAAGAAGCACCGGCUAACUAUGU